GACGAACGCUGGCGGCGUGCUUAACACAUGCAAGUCGAACGGAAAGGCCCUGCUUUUGUGGGGUGCUCGAGUGGCGAACGGGUGAGUAACACGUGAGUAACCUGCUCUUGACUUUGGUAUAACUUCAGGAAACUGGGGCUAAUACCGGAUAGGAGCUCCUGCUGCAUGGUGGGGGUUGGAAAGUUUCGGCGGUUGGGGAUGGACUCGCGGCUGACCAGCUUGUUGGUGGGGUAGUGGCUUACCAAGGGUGUGACGGGUAGCCGGCCUGAGAGGGUGACCGGCCACAUGGGUACUGAGAUACGGCCCAGAGUGCUACGGGGGGCAGUAGUGGGAAAUCUUGCACAAUGGGCGGACGCCUGAUGCAGCAACGCCGCGUGCGGAAUGACGGCCUUCGGGUUGAAAACCGCUUUCGCCUGUGACGAAGCGUGAGUGACGGUAAUGAGUGAAGAAGCACCGGCUAACUACGUG
RNAcentral lists this ribosomal RNA (468 nucleotides) under uncultured bacterium. RNAcentral describes it as "partial 16S ribosomal RNA". It matches the Rfam family "Bacterial small subunit ribosomal RNA", at positions 28 to 507 of the family's 1533-position model. The record is from RNAcentral.